AUUGAACGCUGGCGGCAUGCCUUACACAUGCAAGUCGAACGGUAACGGGCCUUCGGGUGCCGACGAGUGGCGAACGGGUGAGUAAUACAUCGGAACGUGCCCGAUCGUGGGGGAUAACGAGGCGAAAGCUUUGCUAAUACCGCAUACGAUCUACGGAUGAAAGCAGGGGACCGCAAGGCCUUGCGCGGACGGAGCGGCCGAUGGCAGAUUAGGUAGUUGGUGGGAUAAAAGCUUACCAAGCCGACGAUCUGUAGCUGGUCUGAGAGGAUGAUCAGCCACACUGGGACUGAGACACGGCCCAGACUCCUACGGGAGGCAGCAGUGGGGAAUUUUGGACAAUGGGCGCAAGCCUGAUCCAGCCAUGCCGCGUGCAGGAUGAAGGCCUUCGGGUUGUGAACUGCUUUUGUACGGAACGAAAAGCCUUCUUUUAAUACAGGAGGGUCAUGACGGUACCGUAAGAAUAAGCACCGGCUAACUACGUG
This 482-nucleotide ribosomal RNA is filed under the name uncultured bacterium. Its description in RNAcentral is "partial 16S ribosomal RNA". It matches the Rfam family "Bacterial small subunit ribosomal RNA", at positions 30 to 507 of the family's 1533-position model. The record is from RNAcentral.